Molecule: long non-coding RNA, 2629 nt
Organism: Cavia porcellus (domestic guinea pig)
Lineage: Eukaryota; Metazoa; Chordata; Mammalia; Rodentia; Caviidae
Exons: 2
Source: RefSeq, a predicted model, not a curated record
UUAUCUGGGUCCCUUUUAAGUUUCAAUGACUUGGCAGCUACGGCCCCGACCCGCACCGCGCAGCCACCGGCGGCCAGCGGGACGCGCGCUUCCCGGCACUUUGCGCCCAGCGCGCAGGCGCGAAGGGAAGCUGGGGGGGGGGGGGGAGACAGUCCAGGGCGCCUGCGCAGUGAGCUCCGCCGCUGCUGCUUGCAGAGGUGCGGGCCCGGCGCGCAUGGGCCUCUCUUGUGUGUGCCAAGCUUCUCCCACUCUGCAAAAAUUCCCCCUUCAUUUCUUCAGAUUUUCCCCGGGUUCUUCAAAGGUGGUCUGGGACCUGCGGACUCCAGGUCUUCCCGGGGUCUCUGGGGUUACUCCGUGCGGACAGAGCCCAGGGUGGGUGACAGCCCUCACACCCUCUCCUGCUGUCACUACUCCAGGCACUGUGCCGCCCCUCUGAGGAUGCGCGAAGCUGUGCUGUGACAGUUUCAGCGCCGCAGUUUCUUCAGAAUCCAGCAGCCACUUCCCCCAGAUGUCCCGCUACAGCUCCGACUGUCCUGGACACACCCUGGUGUCCGGGAGACACCUCGCAGGGCUACAGUGGUUUUCUCUUUUGCAGACAGGGUCUCACUCUGCAGCUCAGGCUUGAACUCAGGUUGUGGCCCAGGCUGGUCUCGACCUCAUAAUGAUCCUCCUGCCUCAGUCUCCCCAGUGCUAGGAUUACACUUAUGGCUAGUGCCUAUUCUAAAUCCCGGAUCACUCCGCCUGUGCCAGCUGGACCGACUCCGCCUACAAGCCCAGAUGACUCUGCUCCUCCCUCUGCCCUUACUCUGAAAAUGUUCAAGCAGUCACCAAACGUGCGGAACUGCGGACCUGGCCCCUCAUGUUCCUUGGGCUCACAGGAGAGGGUUCCUUUGUGCACUGGACCCCGUGCUGCAGUGCAGGUCUCAAGAAAGCCUCGCGGGUCCUCCUGUAAGUCUCCUCCUAACUGUUAUCUCAGGCAGUGUGGGCACAGCAGGCCGCACUGAAGAGCUGUAGCAGCAGGGCUGCUAGCCUUAAAGGGUCAGGAAGACCAGCAGCAGCCACCCUCAAUGACCCAGCAUCAACUAGUAGCCACCAGAGGCGGCAGCCAGCGGCCAGGUUUAGCGGAGACCUGCAGAGAAUCCCUGAGAGGCAGCACAAGCUGCUGAAGCAGGCUGUGUGCUGCCAGAGGAGCUGCCAGGAGCUGCAGGCAAGGCCCAAGGCCCCCUGGCACUCAGAUCCCAGCGCUGCUGACCCCUGUGCUUUGCCCAUUUGUGGUUUCCAUCUGAGCUGAGCAAAUGCACCCUCACUACCCCUGCCUCAAAUGAUCCUCCUGCCUCAGCCUGCUCAGCUUCUGGAACUACAGGAACAGUGGAGGUGUUUGCACCUUUGUCAAAGAGAAGGUGGCUGAGUGUAUCUGUGGUUAUUUCUGCAUCUUCUAAUCUGUUCCAUUGAUCCUCAGCUUUUUGGAAGGAGAGUUAAAUGAGGUCGUAAGUAUGAAGUGUUAAUCCUACAGACAAGGAGCCAUGCCCGCCUCUGUCUGUGCACACAGAACGGAGAGGGGCCCAGUGAGGACACAGAGGGAAGGCAGCCACCUGCAGACAGAAAGAAGGUGAUUGCCCCGAGGCCACUGUACUGUCCCCGAGACCGGUGGAUUAGGGCCCUGAAUCUUUUUAUUUCCCCAGCACCUGCGCCGUGGGCCCAGUCACUCCCCUGUCCCAGCCCUUGACUCACGUAUAUCUUAUUCCCACUGAACCCCCCAACUCACCUACCUUUGGGCUGAACCCACCGCAGCUGUGAGCCAAAUCAUCCUCUGCUCCUUUACGUUGUGGACAUCCGGUGUUGUGUCCACUCGGGAGACCUCAACUCUGGCUCGCUUUUCCAAGAGAGAAACACACUGCACACCCGCAGUUCCCCUUCGGAGCCGUCCUUGAAGGAAAUGACUUCGGGAAGAUUUCUGGAGCUUUCCAGAAUUUAUGGAAUUCCUUCUCCAAAGACAGAGGCAGAUUUUUGUACAGCUCCACGUGGAAGAAGCAGAUCUUGCAGCUGCUUCUUGAGCAGCCGCUGAGCCAAGCAUGUUUCACUUUGCUCAAUCCCGGCUGUAAGGCUGGCUCCGGGACAGGGACCCGAAAGCCAGACGCCUUCCCUUGGUGGAGGAGCCUCCUCCAGCCAGCCAGGGGGGCAGCAGGCUCCUGGUCUGAUAACGGCCUGGCUGGAUUUCCUCUCCUGUUUGUCCUUUUGCAUUUAGUUAAAGUAAACUCUGUGCCCUUAGUUUGAAAAAGCCCUUCAAGGCAUGGCGUCAGAAAAGCCAGCCAACUUCUAUGUGGCAGAGAAGCAGUUCGGAUUUUGCUUUUACAUCUUGAAGCUAAAAUUUAAGUGUGUCUGACUCUGAGACCCGUCUCCCCGAUGAGGUUUAUGGCUGUUGAGGAAGUUCUUCUUUGGGCUUCCUAGAAUCUUUGUUGUCUGUCUGUGUAAAAAAAGCAAAAAUAACAAUGAUGCCAGCGUAGAAAGUUUGCUUCUCAUUAAAGUAGCAAAGCUGGGCCUCAGCAGGCUUAGCAGGAGCCCAUCUGUGCAGAGAAGGGGGUUUAUCCAAAGUUGGGUUUGGCCAGAAAUCUUUUUGUCACUUCCAAAA